UCACGACGUUGUAAAACGACGUUAUGCAUGAACGUAAUGUUGGUCACGACGUUGUAAAACGACGUUAUGCAUGAACGUAAUGCUCAUAAUUUCCCUCUGGACUUAGCUGCUAUUGAAGCUCCAUCUACAAAUGGAUAAAACCCUAGUACUAGGAUGAGUGUAUACAAGUUUUUGAACUAAUUUGAACUGAACUAAAAAGGGGGCAGUAUUGCCCCCCUUUUCUGAUUUUUACUUUAGUACUAUUUGGAUUCUAUAUAAAAGAAAAAGUUCAAUAAGCGAAUUUAAAUUAAAUAAGUAAGUAAUUUGAUGCGUGUCUUGUGUUUUCGUUUUGUAUUCAUUUACAUUCUAAAAAUUAGAAAGAUUUAAUAUGUUUGAAAUAGAUAAUAUUAAAAUAUAGAAUAGAUUAAUUUACUAUUAAUCGAUAUAGUUAAUAGAUAGAGUACUAUACAGUUAAUACCCCCACGACUUUAAAAACAACUUUA
This 482-nucleotide unclassified non-coding RNA is filed under the name Stylidium graminifolium. RNAcentral describes it as "partial miscellaneous RNA". Lineage: Eukaryota; Viridiplantae; Streptophyta; Magnoliopsida; Asterales; Stylidiaceae. The record is from RNAcentral.